This 1258-nucleotide long non-coding RNA is filed under the name Corvus moneduloides (New Caledonian crow). RNAcentral's name for it is "lncRNA (ENSCMUG00000018671.1)". The record is from RNAcentral. Lineage: Eukaryota; Metazoa; Chordata; Aves; Passeriformes; Corvidae.
GGCAAAGCAAGGCAGAAGGGAAUAGCUGGUACGGGGUCAGUCAGGGCUGGGCACAGUUUGCUGGUGGGCUUCCCCUGGGGAUGUGUGAUGAUGAGGAAGGAAAGUGCAGCUGGAUCGUACCUGGUGCGAAUGUUGUGUUAAUGCAGUGCUGGUCAGGGGGAUUCGUGGUGCUGUGGUACACUGGAAGAUGAUGGAUAGGCAGAUAAGAGACAUGUACUGGUUUUUGGGGCAGAAACAGAGGAGGUAGAUCUCGCUGACUGCAGCAGAUUGUGCUUUCAACAAAUGUGAACAGCCUUUGGGUAAGAAAGCUGUGAAUAAUUUCUGUGUCUGUUUCUGCAUGCUGUGUCAGUUGCUCAUAGAGAUGAUUAACAUGCCUCAAUACUGUCACAUCUGAAGGUUAUCCUGUGAAGGUCCCCUCCAAAUCACCACUUCCCACACACGUAAGGCACAGGAAUUUCUCUGUGUGUAGGAGUCCAGCAGGCAUCCUGGCCAUAAGAGGUGACUGUGUCUUUCUGUUACUGUACGUGAGAUACACUCUUAUACCCCACAGAAGUGAAAAUGGAACGUGGUUUUUCUCCAGACAUCCAAAGGGAACAUUCUGCCUCAGCCGUGGCUCUGCUCUUUCCAUCCUUCAUAUGGAUUUUAUUUGCUUGCCCACUGGAGAAAAGGAAUAGCACAGGAAGGCAGCUGUCCUUUGCUUGUUCGUGUACAACCUGCCCUUGACAUUUCACAACCUCACAUCUUGCCAAACACAAAACUCCUGAAACAGAGUGGUUUGGGGUGGUGUGAGUGAUGCUCCUGGUUCUGCUUCCCAAACUGCUCCAAAGCUGCCACAGACAGCAUGGGGACCAAAGCUGAAAUUGGGAAGGUGAUGAGAGAAGCAAUACAACCAGAAUCCUGUCUCCAGGAUUUACUUUAUCCUGAAGUAAAGAAGGAAUCUUACAUCAUGGAUAUACUCAUUUUUCUGCAGAUGAUGAGUGAGUUAAUGCGUGAGCUGUUGUUGUUUAUACUUCCAGAGAUGCUAAAUUACAGAUGCAGAUGAGGGCUGUAUUUUAACACUUGGGAAACAGCUUUCUGAACCCUUUGGCAGGGCUGUUGAACUGAACACAAAGCUUUUAUCUCUCUGAAUCUCUCCAGGCAUAUUAAUCCUUCACUUAGAGGUUUGUCAGAUGAAAAGCUGCUUGAAUGGUUUGCUAUUUUUUUAAUUGUGUGUGAAUUGUAUUGGUGCUGUGUACGGAUCACAUAGGCCAGAGUCAGG